RNAcentral lists this ribosomal RNA (497 nucleotides) under uncultured bacterium. RNAcentral describes it as "partial 16S ribosomal RNA". It matches the Rfam family "Bacterial small subunit ribosomal RNA", at positions 28 to 507 of the family's 1533-position model. The record is from RNAcentral.
GAUGAACGCUGGCGGCGUGCCUAAUACAUGCAAGUCGAGCGAACAGACGAGGAGCUUGCUCCUCUGACGUUAGCGGCGGACGGGUGAGUAACACGUGGAUAACCUACCUAUAAGACUGGGAUAACUUCGGGAAACCGGAGCUAAUAACGGAUAAUAUAUUGAACCGCAUGGUUCAAUAGUGAAAGACGGUUUUGCUGUCACUUAUAGAUGGAUCCGCGCCGCAUUAGCUAGUUGGUAAGGUAACGGCUUACCAAGGCAACGAUGCGUAGCCGACCUGAGAGGAUGAUCGGCCACACUGGAACUGAGACACGGUCCAGACUCCUACGGGAGGCAGCAGUAGGGAAUCUUCCGCAAUGGGCGAAAGCCUGACGGAGCAACGCCGCGUGAGUGAUGAAGGUCUUCGGAUCGUAAAACUCUGUUAUUAGGGAAGAACAAAUGUGUAAGUAACUAUGCACGUCUUGACGGUACCUAAUCAGAAAGCCACGGCUAACUACGUG